ACCCUACUGCUAUCGGGGUGGGACUAAGACAUGCGAGUCGUGCGUCUCUAGGCCAUGGUAGAGACGCGGCAUACGGCUCAGUAACACGUGGCUAACCUACCCUUAGGACGGGAAUACCCCCGGGAAACCACGCGCAGGCACGUAAUCCUUUCUCGACACGCUCAAAGCAUGGCUAUGUACGCAUAGUUCACGUAGAACCGCUUUCCUUGACGGAAAACCUAACCUGAGAAGCUUUGAGCCAACCAUUCACGAUAACACAUCACCGCCAACAGAAACAACAGGAGCUCUGGCGUGGCCCAAAACUGGGGUUAAUACCCGAUGGGCGAAGAGGCCUGGAACAGUUCCUCGCUGAAAGGACGUUGGAACCAUGCUUUUCAACGUCGCCUAAGGAUGGGGCCGCGGCCGAUCAGGUUGUUGGUGAGGUAACGGCUCACCAAGCCUAUAACCGGUACGGGCCGUGAGAGCGGGAGCCCGGAGAUGGGCACUGAGACAAGGGCCCAGGCCCUACGGGGCGCAGCAGUCGCGAAAACUCCGCAAUGCGCGAAAGCGUGACGGGGCUACCCCGAGUGCCGUCCGCUGAGGAUGGCUUUUCCCCGGUGUAAUGAGCCGGGGGAAUAAGGAGAGGGCAAGUCUGGUGUCAGCCGCCGCGGUAAUACCAGCUCUCCGAGUGGUAGGGACGAUUAUUGGGCUUAAAGCGUCCGUAGCCGGCUCGGCAAGUCUCCCGUUAAAUCCAGCGACCUAAUCGUUGGGCUGCGGGAGAUACUGUCGGGCUAGGAGGCGGGAGAGGCCGACGGUAUUCUCGGGGUAGGGGUGAAAUCCUAUAAUCCCGGGAGGACCACCAGUGGCGAAGGCUGUCGGCUAGAACGCGCUCGACGGUGAGGGACGAAGGCUGGGGGAGCGAACCGGAUUAGAUACCCGGGUAGUCCCAGCCGUAAACGAUGCGGGCUAGGUGUUGGGGUGGCUACGAGCCACUUCAGUGCCGCAGGGAAGCCAUUAAGCCCGCCGCCUGGGGAGUACGGCCGCAAGGCUGAAACUUAAAGGAAUUGGCGGGGGAGCACCACAAGGCGUGAAGCUUGCGGUUCAAUUGGAGUCAACGCCGGGAACCUUACCGGGGGCGACAGCAGAAUGAAGGCCAGAUUGAAGGUCUUGCUGGACGAGCUGAGAGGAGGUGCAUGGCCGUCGCCAGUUCGUGCCGUGAGGUGUCCUGUUAAGUCAGGCAACGAUCGAGACCCGCACCCUUAGUUGCGACCUGGUACGGAUUACCGUUCAGGGCACACUAGGGGAACUGCCGUCGACAAGACGGAGGAAGGAGCGGGCUACGGCAGGUCAGUAUGCCCCGAAUCCCCCGGGCCACACGCGAGCUGCAAUGGCAGGSACAAUGGGUUCCCACCUCGAAAGGGGGAGGCAAUCCCUAAACCCUGCCUCAGUUGGGAUCGAGGGCUGCAACCCGCCCUCGUGAACAUGGAAUGCCUAGUAAUCGCGUGUCAUCAUCGCGCGGUGAAUACGUCCCCGCUCC
Molecule: ribosomal RNA, 1516 nt
Filed under: uncultured archaeon
Lineage: Archaea
Description: bacterial SSU rRNA
Rfam family: Archaeal small subunit ribosomal RNA
Source: RNAcentral